Molecule: long non-coding RNA, 2074 nt
Organism: Corapipo altera (White-ruffed manakin)
Lineage: Eukaryota; Metazoa; Chordata; Aves; Passeriformes; Pipridae
Exons: 3
Source: RefSeq, a predicted model, not a curated record
AAGGACUGACGUAUUUCUGUCAAAACUAAGAAGAAGGUGGAUAAGUGCAAUGAAGAGAGAUGGACCAUGAUGGGAGAUUACACCAGCUUUUAGUUUGGUUGCCAAGUUGUUAAUAAAGUCAACAUUGUGAAGAAAUGAAGUUUAAAGUCUAUACAAUGAAAACAAAAUUUCUUGAGAAAUGACAUGUACUACGGUAUUGGAAACUUUAUCUUCCUGUCAAAGCUGAUGCAGUAAAGUCAACUGAACAAGAUAAUAACAUAUCUCUUGUAAAGGUGGAAGAUCUCUACAGUGAAUGGGAACAGAAGAUGGCAUAGGCUGUCAGAAAAAAUUAAAACAAGGAAUAUGUCUGUUCAUAAAUUUGAUGACGUGAAUUCAAACUACACAUAAUGUUGUGAUAGAUGAACACCUUGAAGAACAUUUUAUUUUCUUAUUUGAAAGAAACAUUUUGGAAGCAGAUUUUAUAUCCUUCUCUAUAAUGUUUCUGUCUAUCUAUACCUACAUAUUUAUAUUUAAUUCUUUGCGUCUGUAUAGGGUCAAGACUUAUUUCACAUUCAAGACUUUCCCUGUAUUAUUUGACUGUUCUCAUCUUUAAACAGGUUUAUCUGAAGAUAUGAUAUUCUAGAAAAUUCUAGGCAAUAUACAAUGGCAAAAUUGCCAUUUUUUCUUAAAUAUGUGGAUAAUUUGGAUUAUUAUUUGAAUUAAUCUACCAAGUUUCCCUAUUCAAAGGACUCAGUGAGAUGUGAAAGACAUGAUUUUCCUUGGUCUAUCUGAUGCUGAAGAAAAGCUUGAAUUUCUCUCUGUCACAUCUCAUCUGAGACUCCCAACUGCUAGAUAAAUUAAUAUUACUCUUCAGUUUUACUGAAGAAUUUGGAUCUCAGGGGGAAAUUUUGGUGCCAGAACCUAAGUUUUUUAAGCAAAUGGUCAGUUCAAAGCUCCUAAGAACUCUUGCUUCUAGCACAGCAGUUUGUUUAUUUUAUUUUAUUUUGAAACCUUAUACUGGAUUAGUGGACCUAUUUAAUAAUGGUAAUUACAUAAUUUGGUCUUUGAAUUAGAUAUAUGUUCCCAUUUCAAUGUGACUGUUCUUUUCCACAUUUUUAUUUCCUUCUGCAAGGGAGGGUAUGGCUGGUCAUUUAGAUGAUAUGGUUUUUGUCAUCUCUUGGAUCAGUGACUUAAUCAUAGGAUUUCAUUUUAAAGAGGACUCGCAGGUCUGCUAAUGCCAACAAUAAGAUGACCUGGUAAUAUUCAGAGUUCAAAGUUUAAUCGCAGUAGAUCAAUCAUCACGAAGUUCAAAGAGCAUUAUUAAGCAAGCUGCAUAUUCUAGGUCUUGAGGCAAUAUAGAAUUAAUUGUCAGGAAAACAGUGGAAAAGGAAAGCACUUUAAUCUUCUUGUCCUCAGUGUGACACACGUCAGGUUUUGAAAUAUGCAACAUGAUGUCAUAGCUGCAGAAAGAGAGUCCAAUUUAGCCAAAGAGAAGGUGCAAAGUGACCUGGUAGAGCUUUUUUAGUAUUAAUAUUAUUUUGAAGUUAAUAAACCAAGUGAUAUUUAAAGGUGUAGUAUCCAAAUUUUGUUUCCAAAUUUUUGCUACAAACUCUGAAGAUAUUUAUUGAUACUAAUUCUUUUUUUUUUCCCUCAUGGUCAGAUAAUUGAGUAUUUUAGAAUAUUAAUUCUCUUUGAAAGUUCACAUUAAUGAGUUCAUAUUAAGGAAUUAAGACUGAAUUCAUCUCAGUAUUAAAAAAGAAACUAUGGUAUUUCUUACAAUGGAGUACAUCUCCAACACCUGUGAAUCUCCAGAUGUGUGUCUAAGCAAACUUUUAAACUAACUGUGCUGUAUACACGCGUGAAACAAAGCUAACUAGUAAAACAGAUGAAAGUGUAAAGAGUCUUGACUUUGGUAAUAUAGUGACAUGUCUUUGGAGUCUUGAAAGGGGAAAACUCUUAGAAAUAAAUGUGAUGAUGAUUUAAUCAAACUUUAAUUUACUUUUGCUUUGUAUUGUUUUCUUCAUGAUACCUGGGAUUAUCCAAUAUGUGUCCAAUAAGCACUAUGGUUUUCUAAGAUGAAAUUGCAUGAAUGACA